UGGUAACUAAAAUUCGUAAUGCGGUGAGUAUGAACUGCAGCAAGAACACCGUGGAGGCCUUAACCACACUUGGAAGUGCGCUUAAGGCCUCCAACCUUCCUCUACGUAACAGAUCCAACCCAGAAAUGCAUCACAACACAUACAAAUGAAUAUCAAGUCUUCUACCAUACUUCAAUCAUCCAUCAUCCAUCAUACAAUAUUAUACAAUACAAUGAUCUGAGCUUAAGAAAAUAAAAACCAACCUGGACGCCCAAGCAAACAAAAAGCUUGAUGUAAAUUAUGAGAAGAAGAACCACCACCUUUCAAAGGCGCUCACCACCACCACGACAACACCAUGACAGCCACCAAACGAACAAUGAGGAAAACUCUGUGAGAAUGAAGGGCAUGCGAGACUACAAGAAGCAAAUGAGGGAUGAGGGGAGGAGGGGAGGGGGCACGCAAGAAGAGAGGAGAAAAGGGAUGAAGGGUCUGAGAAUAUGAAAUGCGACACCGAAGAGAAAUGGAUGGGUGGUGUAGGGUUUUAAUUGUUUAAUGGGUCAAUUAAAAAGAAGUAGCAGUCAAAAAGAUUCUCUGACAAGAACACAAAUGGAAAAAAAAAAUAAAAUAAGAAGGUACAAAAUGAGAUGGGUGAGAUAGAGGAAGAAACACUCUUUACAUUAAUUUAUAUUUGAUCAUAAUUUCUAACAAAGUACUAAUUUGAAAUCAAAAAAACUUCUACAUACACUUCACCAUAAGAUAGGGACGAAAGAGACUUAAAAGAAAAAUAUCAAUAAAGAAUUUAUGAUUUAAAAAGAGACUUUUUUUUUUUUUUUGUAGGAUACCAACUGUCCAACAACUCAUAAUUAUAGAAUUUUAAUGAUAAAAAUUGACAUAUAACUUAAUUUUAAAGAUACCACAAAUUUAAGUUCUGCUCUUUGAAACAAAGAACAUUUUUUACUAAAGUUACUAAAUCC
RNAcentral lists this long non-coding RNA (953 nucleotides) under Vigna radiata. Its description in RNAcentral is "long non-coding RNA (VRAD_LNC007372)". Lineage: Eukaryota; Viridiplantae; Streptophyta; Magnoliopsida; Fabales; Fabaceae. The record is from RNAcentral.